RNAcentral lists this ribosomal RNA (497 nucleotides) under uncultured bacterium. RNAcentral describes it as "bacterial SSU rRNA". It matches the Rfam family "Bacterial small subunit ribosomal RNA", at positions 8 to 518 of the family's 1533-position model. The record is from RNAcentral.
AGAGUUGAUUAUGGCUCAGAACGAACGCUGGUGGCGUGUCUAUACACGCAAGUCGAGCGAGGCAGUAAUGCCGAGCGGCGAACGGGUGAGUAACGCGUAAGCAAUCUGCCCCAUAUCAGGAAAUACCCGUGCCAACGCGCGGUUAAUGUCCAGGAGAGUGGCCCUCUGCAUGGAGGGUUGACUAGAGAUUUAUCGGUAUGGGAUGAGCUUGCGUCCGAUUAGCUAGUUGGCGGGGCAACGGCCCACCAAGGCGACGAUCGGUAGCCGGCCUGAGAGGGUGAUCGGCCACAUUGGGACUGAGAUACGGCCCAGACUCCUACGGGAGGCAGCAGUAGGGAAUAUUGCACAAUGGGGGAAACCCUGAUGCAGCAACGCCACGUGUGGGAAGAAGCAUUUCGGUGUGUAAACCACUGUCAUGAGGGAAUAAGGCCCUUAUCCGUAAGGGACUUGAAUGUACCUUGAGAGGAAGCACCGGCAAACUUCGUGCCAGCAGCCGC